This 394-nucleotide ribosomal RNA is filed under the name uncultured bacterium. RNAcentral describes it as "partial 16S ribosomal RNA". It matches the Rfam family "Bacterial small subunit ribosomal RNA", at positions 338 to 729 of the family's 1533-position model. The record is from RNAcentral.
CCUACGGGGUGCAGCAGUGAGGAAUAUUGGUCAAUGGUCGCGAGCCUGAACCAGCCAAGCCGCGUGAGGGAUGAAGGUACUACGGGUCGUAAACCUCUUUUGUCAGGGAACAAAGGCGUGAACGUGUGCCUGUAUGAGUGUACUUUAUGAAUAAGGAUCGGCUAACUCCGUGCCAGCAGUCGCGGUAAUACGGAGGAUGCGAGCGUUAUCCGGAUUUAUUGGGUUUAAAGGGUGCGUAGAUGGGUUGUUAAGUCAGUUGUUAAAGUUUGCGGCUCAACCGCAAGCUAACAGUUGAUACUGGCAGUCUUGAGUUGAGGAGAGGUAGGCGGAAUUCGCGGUGUAGCGGUGAAAUGCAUAGAUAUCGCGAAGAACUCCGAUUGCGAAGGCAGCAUGC